This is a non-coding RNA of Picea glauca (white spruce), 121 nucleotides long. The record is from Rfam. NCBI's taxonomy places the organism in Eukaryota, Viridiplantae, Streptophyta, Pinopsida, Pinales, Pinaceae.
ACAUGCCUACAUCAUAGCAUUAGUGCACCGAAUCCCUUUAUAACUCUAUAGUUGAGCACGCUCAGGCUAGAGUAGUACUGGGAUAGGUGACCACCUAGGAAUUCAUAGUGUUUUACAUGCC